UGGCAUCACAGUUGAGGUGCUAAUGUGGAGA
This 31-nucleotide non-coding RNA is filed under the name Homo sapiens (human). The record is from RNAcentral. Lineage: Eukaryota; Metazoa; Chordata; Mammalia; Primates; Hominidae.